GCCUUCUUGAAUCUUUGAAAUUAUAUUAUAUGUUGAGUAUAUGCUUAAAUUGCUUGAAUUGAUCAUAUGCUUGAAAUGCCUAAAAUGCUUAUUUGUCUAAAUUGAGACAAUCAUUUGGAAUUAGUAUAUGUUGAAAUGUGCAUUGAUUCUUGAAAUAUGAAUUUAAGAUAAAUUGGAUCAUUCAUGAAGUAUAUGCUUACAAGUGCUUAUUUAUUUAUU
RNAcentral lists this long non-coding RNA (219 nucleotides) under Elaeis guineensis (African oil palm). Its description in RNAcentral is "long non-coding RNA (EGUI_LNC068176)". Lineage: Eukaryota; Viridiplantae; Streptophyta; Magnoliopsida; Arecales; Arecaceae. The record is from RNAcentral.